UUGGAGGUUAAGGGCAAUAAAUCACAAUGCGGGACUGUUAGUCUUGCAAUUGGAUUGAGAACAACGUACAACUCUUAUCGAUAAGCCAUUGGAGGGCAAGUCUGGUGCCAGCAGCCGCGGUAAUUCCAGCUCCAAUAGCGUAUAUUAACGUUGUUGCAGUUAAAAAGCUCGUAGUUGAAGUGAGGGAGUGUGUGGUCGGGCGAACUUGUUUGGAGUUUUCGCAACCUCCCCCCUCCAAUCGGUGUAGUGGGGUAUUCAGUUAUUCUACUACUCCUUUGGUCGUUUACUGUGAGAAAAUUAGAGUGUUCAAAGCGGGCGUUUGUUUGAAUAGAUUAGCAUGGAAUAAUGAUUGAAGGCUUUCGUGUUCGAUUUGAUUGGUUUGUUCAUGGAAGCAAGGUUAAAAGGAACAGUUGGGGGUAUUCAUAUUCACUAGUUAGUAGGAACUGUCUGUU
This 452-nucleotide ribosomal RNA is filed under the name Blastocystis sp. RNAcentral's name for it is "SSU rRNA". It matches the Rfam family "Eukaryotic small subunit ribosomal RNA", at positions 458 to 924 of the family's 1831-position model. Lineage: Eukaryota; Bigyra; Opalinata; Blastocystidae. The record is from RNAcentral.